Molecule: ribosomal RNA, 445 nt
Filed under: uncultured bacterium
Lineage: Bacteria
Description: bacterial SSU rRNA
Rfam family: Bacterial small subunit ribosomal RNA
Source: RNAcentral
CCAGACUCCUACGGGAGGCAGCAGUGGGGGAUAUUGCACAAUGGGGGGAACCCUGAUGCAGCGACGCCGCGUGGGUGAAGAAGCGCCUCGGCGCGUAAAGCCCUGUCAGCAGGGAAGAAAAUGACGGUACCUGAAGAAGAAGCCCCGGCUAACUACGUGCCAGCAGCCGCGGUAAUACGUAGGGGGCAAGCGUUAUCCGGAUUCACUGGGUGUAAAGGGAGCGUAGACGGCGACGCAAGUCUGGAGUGAAAGCCCGGGGGCCAACCCCGGGACUGCUCUGGAAACUGCGUCGCUGGAGUGCGGGAGGGGCAGGCGGAAUUCCUGGUGUAGCGGUGAAAUGCGUAGAUAUCAGGAGGAACACCGGGGGCGAAGGCGGCCUGCUGGACCGUGACUGACGUUGAGGCUCGAGAGCGUGGGGAGCAAACAGGAUUAGAUACCCCAGUAA